This 505-nucleotide ribosomal RNA is filed under the name uncultured bacterium. RNAcentral describes it as "partial 16S ribosomal RNA". It matches the Rfam family "Bacterial small subunit ribosomal RNA", at positions 28 to 507 of the family's 1533-position model. The record is from RNAcentral.
GACGAACGCUGGCGGCGUGCCUAAUACAUGCAAGUAGAACGCACAGUUUAUACCGUAGCUUGCUACACCAUAGACUGUGAGUUGCGAACGGGUGAGUAACGCGUAGGUAACCUGCCUGGUAGCGGGGGAUAACUAUUGGAAACGAUAGCUAAUACCGCAUAAUAUUAAUUAUUGCAUGAUAAUUAAUUGAAAGGUGCAAUUGCACCACUACCAGAUGGACCUGCGUUGUAUUAGCUAGUAGGUGAGGUAACGGCUCACCUAGGCGACGAUACAUAGCCGACCUGAGGGGGUGAUCGGCCACACUGGGACUGAGACACGGCCCAGACUCCUACGGGAGGCAGCAGUAGGGAAUCUUCGGCAAUGGACGAAAGUCUGACCGAGCAACGCCGCGUGAGUGAAGAAGGUUUUCGGAUCGUAAAGCUCUGUUGUAAGAGAAGAACGGGUGCGAGAGUGGAAAGUUCACACUGUGACGGUAUCUUACCAGAAAGGGACGGCUAACUACGUG